This 301-nucleotide ribosomal RNA is filed under the name uncultured bacterium. RNAcentral's name for it is "partial 16S ribosomal RNA". It matches the Rfam family "Bacterial small subunit ribosomal RNA", at positions 509 to 807 of the family's 1533-position model. The record is from RNAcentral.
CAGCCGCCGCGGUAAUACGAGGGGUGCAAGCGUUAUUCGGAUUGAUUGGGUGUAAAGGGUGUGCAGACGGCUUAUUAAGUCACUUGUUAAAUUCUUCGGCCUAACUGAAGGUCUGCAAGUGAUACUGAUGAGCUAGAGGGUGGAAGAGAGAAGUGGAAUUCUCGGAGUAGCGGUAAAAUGCGUAGAUCUCGAGAGGAACACCAAUGGCGGAGGCAGCUUCUUGGUCCAUUCCUGACGUUCAUACACGAAAGCGUGGGGAGCAAACAGGAUUAGAUACCCGCGUAGUCCCUGUCUCUUAUAC